This 200-nucleotide ribosomal RNA is filed under the name uncultured bacterium. RNAcentral describes it as "partial 16S ribosomal RNA". It matches the Rfam family "Bacterial small subunit ribosomal RNA", at positions 524 to 723 of the family's 1533-position model. The record is from RNAcentral.
CACGAACCGUCCAAACGUUAUUCGGAAUCAUUGGGCUUAAAGGGUGCGUAGGCGGACCAUUAAGUCGGGUGUGAAAUCCUUCGGCUCAACCGAAGAAUUGCGCCCGAUACUGGUGGUCUUGAGGGAGACAGGGGUGAACGGAACUGAUGGUGGAGCGGUGAAAUGCGUUGAUAUCAUCAGGAACACCGGUGGCGAAAGCG